This 429-nucleotide ribosomal RNA is filed under the name Gemmatimonadota bacterium. RNAcentral's name for it is "Gemmatimonadetes bacterium partial 16S ribosomal RNA". It matches the Rfam family "Bacterial small subunit ribosomal RNA", at positions 355 to 776 of the family's 1533-position model. The record is from RNAcentral. Lineage: Bacteria; Pseudomonadati; Gemmatimonadota.
UAGGGAAUCUUCGGCAAUGGACGAAAGUCUGACCGAGCAACGCCGCGUGAGUGAAGAAGGUUUUCGGAUCGUAAAACUCUGUUGUUAGAGAAGAACAAGGACGUUAGUAACUGAACGUCCCCUGACGGUAUCUAACCAGAAAGCCACGGCUAACUACGUGCCAGCAGCCGCGGUAAUACGUAGGUGGCAAGCGUUGUCCGGAUUUAUUGGGCGUAAAGCGAGCGCAGGCGGUUUCUUAAGUCUGAUGUGAAAGCCCCCGGCUCAACCGGGGAGGGUCAUUGGAAACUGGGAGACUUGAGUGCAGAAGAGGGAAGUGGAAUUCCAUGUGUAACGUUGAAAUGCGUAGAUAUAUGGAGGAACACCAGUGGCGAAGGCGGCUCUCUGGUCUGUAACUGACGCUGAGGCUCGAAAGCGUGGGGAGCAAACAGG